This 408-nucleotide ribosomal RNA is filed under the name bacterium. Its description in RNAcentral is "partial 16S ribosomal RNA". It matches the Rfam family "Bacterial small subunit ribosomal RNA", at positions 355 to 776 of the family's 1533-position model. The record is from RNAcentral.
UGGGGAAUAUUGCACAAUGGGCGAAAGCCUGAUGCAGCGACGCCGCGUGAGGGAUGACGGCCUUCGGGUUGUAAACCUCUUUCAGCAGGGACGAAGCGCAAGUGACGGUACCUGCAGAAGAAGCACCGGCUAACUACGUGCCAGCAGCCGCGGUAAUACGUAGGGUGCAAGCGUUGUCCGGAAUUACUGGGCGUAAGAGUUCGUAGGCGGUUUGUCGCGUCGUUUGUGAAAACCAGCAGCUCAACUGCUGGCUUGCAGGCGAUACGGGCAGACUUGAGUACUGCAGGGGAGACUGGAAUUCCUGGUGUAGCGGUGAAAUGCGCAGAUAUCAGGAGGAACACCGGUGGCGAAGGCGGGUCUCUGGGCAGUAACUGACGCUGAGGAACGAAAGCGUGGGUAGCGAACAGG